This 269-nucleotide ribosomal RNA is filed under the name uncultured Pelagophyceae. Its description in RNAcentral is "partial Bacterial small subunit ribosomal RNA". It matches the Rfam family "Bacterial small subunit ribosomal RNA", at positions 545 to 812 of the family's 1533-position model. Lineage: Eukaryota; Pelagophyceae. The record is from RNAcentral.
UCGGAAUUACUGGGCGUAAAGCGAGUGUAGGUGGCUCAUUAAGUCACAUGUGAAAUCCCCGGGCUUAACCUGGGAACUGCAUGUGAUACUGGUGGUGCUAGAAUAUGUGAGAGGGAAGUAGAAUUCCAGGUGUAGCGGUGAAAUGCGUAGAGAUCUGGAGGAAUACCGAUGGCGAAGGCAGCUUCCUGGCAUAAUAUUGACACUGAGAUUCGAAAGCGUGGGUAGCAAACAGGAUUAGAUACCCUGGCAGUCCACGCCGUAAACGAUGU